AUACGGAGGGUGCAAGCGUUAAUCGGAAUUACUGGGCGUAAAGCGUACGUAGGCGGUUAUUUAAGUCAGAUGUGAAAGCCCCGGGCUUAACUUGGGAACUGCAUUUGAAACUGGGUAGCUAGAGUUUAGUAGAGGGGAGUGGAAUUUCAGGUGUAGCGGUGAAAUGCGUAGAGAUCUGAAGGAACACCAGUGGCGAAGGCGACUCCCUGGACUAAAACUGACGCUGAGGUACGAAAGCGUGGGUAGCAAACAGGAUUAGAAACCCUAGUAGUCC
RNAcentral lists this ribosomal RNA (274 nucleotides) under uncultured bacterium. RNAcentral's name for it is "partial 16S ribosomal RNA". It matches the Rfam family "Bacterial small subunit ribosomal RNA", at positions 523 to 796 of the family's 1533-position model. The record is from RNAcentral.